UGAGUUGCGAACGGGUGAGUAACGCGUAGGUAACCUGCCUGGUAGCGGGGGAUAACUAUUGGAAACGAUAGCUAAUACCGCAUAACAGUAGAUAUUGCAUGAUAUCUGCUUGAAAGGUGCAAUUGCAUCACUACCAGAUGGACCUGCGUUGUAUUAGCUAGUUGGUGGGGUAACGGCUCACCAAGGCGACGAUACAUAGCCGACCUGAGAGGGUGAUCGGCCACACUGGGACUGAGACACGGCCCAGACUCCUACGGGAGGCAGCAGUAGGGAAUCUUCGGCAAUGGACGGAAGUCUGACCGAGCAACGCCGCGUGAGUGAAGAAGGUUUUCGGAUCGUAAAGCUCUGUUGUAAGAGAAGAACGAGUGUGAGAGUGGAAAGUUCACACUGUGACGGUAUCUUACCAGAAAGGGACGGCUAACUACGUGCCAGCAGCCGCGGUAAUACGUAGGUCCCGAGCGUUGUCCGGAUUUAUUGGGCGUAAAGCGAGCGCAGGCGGUUAGAUAAGUCUGAAGUUAAAGGCUGUGGCUUAACCAUAGUACGCUUUGGAAACUGUUUAACUUGAGUGCAAGAGGGGAGAGUGGAAUUCCAUGUGUAGCGGUGAAAUGCGUAGAUAUAUGGAGGAACACCGGUGGCGAAAGCGGCUCUCUGGCUUGUAACUGACGCUGAGGCUCGAAAGCGUGGGGAGCAAACAGGAUUAGAUANCCUGGUAGUCCACGCCGUAAACGAUGAGUGCUAGGUGUUAGACCC
RNAcentral lists this ribosomal RNA (750 nucleotides) under uncultured Streptococcaceae bacterium. RNAcentral describes it as "bacterial SSU rRNA". It matches the Rfam family "Bacterial small subunit ribosomal RNA", at positions 92 to 830 of the family's 1533-position model. The record is from RNAcentral. Lineage: Bacteria; Bacillati; Bacillota; Bacilli; Lactobacillales; Streptococcaceae.